RNAcentral lists this ribosomal RNA (420 nucleotides) under Inia geoffrensis geoffrensis. RNAcentral's name for it is "partial 12S ribosomal RNA". It matches the Rfam family "Bacterial small subunit ribosomal RNA", at positions 779 to 1399 of the family's 1533-position model. The record is from RNAcentral. Lineage: Eukaryota; Metazoa; Chordata; Mammalia; Artiodactyla; Iniidae.
UAGAUACCCCACUAUGCUUAGCCGUAAACUUAAAUAGUCUCAAGACAAGACCAUUCGCCAGAGUACUACCGGCAACAGCCCAAAACUCAAAGGACUUGGCGGUGCUUCGCAUCCUUCUAGAGGAGCCUGUUCUAUAAACGAUAAACCCCGAUUAACCUCACCAACCCUCGCUACUUCAGUCUAUAUACCGCCAUCUCAAGCAAACCCUAAAAAGGAGCAAGAGUAAGCAUAAUUAUCUCACAUAAGAACGUUAGGUCAAGGUGUAACUUAUGAGUUGGGAAGAAAUGGGCUACAUUUUCUAUAACAAGAACACCACGAAAGUUUUCAUGAAACCUAAAAACUAAAGGAGGAUUUAGCAGUAAACUAAGAGUAGAGUGCUUAUUUGAAUAAGGCCACGAAGCACGCACACACCGCCCGUCA